RNAcentral lists this ribosomal RNA (129 nucleotides) under Ochotona princeps (American pika). Lineage: Eukaryota; Metazoa; Chordata; Mammalia; Lagomorpha; Ochotonidae. The record is from RNAcentral.
GUCUACGGCCAUACCACCCUGAACGCACCCGAUCUCAUCUGAUCCCAGAAGCUAAACAGGGUCCGGCCUGGUUAGUACUUGGAUGAGAGAAAUUAAUUUAUAAAUUAAUUAAACAUGGUAGCGUUAUUU